AUGAUUCUGGUGAUGGGGACCUGAUUCUCAAUAGUCACAGGUCAGAGCAGAAGGUCCCUGCUGAGGACAGACCUCCAGGAGGGCGGUUGGUCCAGUCCCCACACAUGUACUUUCCUCAGGUUUCCUGAUCCUGCCAUGGGUCUGUGGUCACAGUUCUGGAAACUUCUCUGGGUUCCAGGACUAGGGUUCCUUUAGGACCACAUGGCCCUGCCUCCUUCCUGUUUUUUCAUGUGAUGUUUUCUUCCCACAGGUGGAAAAGAAGGGAGCUACGCUCAGGCUGCAAGCGGUGACACUGCCCAGGGCUCUGAUGUGUCUCUCACUGCUUUAAAGCGUGAGACAGCUGCCUUGGGGGGGACUGAGUGAUGCAGGAUGUGUUCAUGCCCCACUUUGUGACUUCAGGAACCUCUGACCUCUCGUUCUGCAAAGGGCAUCUGAAUAUGUCUGCGUUACUCUCAGCAUCCUGUGAGGAGGGGGGAGACUGCCCGCCCCCUGCCCUCCAUGCCCCAUCUCAACACUGAGUCUCUUCUUCUCUGACCCACUGUCCUGUUCCAGCAGAGGCUGUUUCCAUCCCCGCUUUUGCUUUGUGUUACACAGAGCAGCAACUUCUUACUUCCUAUUGAAGCAUCUGGAUAUGGAUUUUUCACUUCUUGCCAUGAAGGGUUGAUGGGUUAAUUGAAGCAGAAAAUCCUAAGGUUUCAGAGGAAAUAAAUGGAAGCACUGAGAACCUUCCAGAAUCCAUGUGUUGGCUCUGCUGAGUCUGUUGCAGGUGGAGACAGGAGAAGCUGUGAGGACCGAGCGUGGAUGCAGACCAUUCAAUGCUCGGCAUUGUGGGCAUCGAUGUGGUCACUCCUCGGCUGGGUGACCUCUCUGCUUCUUUGUCCUUGUCCCUUCAGUAGAACCUUCUCCCACCAAGACCUGUGAUCACAGGGAUUUGAACAUCACCCAGGUCUGGUCUUGUCAGUGAGGGCUUCGUGUGUCCAGGUCAGCCUAGGCUCAGGCCUGGGUCUGGCCCUCAGCCCCCAUCUUUUGGGUGUUCAUUUGUUGUUUCUGUAGAGGAAUAUGACUGGUUUUGUUCUUGUUAUGAGUCCUGGUCUCAUUCUCCUCUGGGUGUCUCCUACCUGUCAGCAGCAGGAGGUGUUGUGCCUGUCAUUGUUCCCACAAGGCCCAGCGGGACCCUGCACACAGAAGUCUGUGGAUCGAGAGAUGAAUUUUCAGGCUCAUCCAGCUCUUGCCUCCUCCUAGGGCUUGAUGGUUCUUUCCAUCUUUUCCCAAACUAUCAGAGGAACCAGAUUCUGGAAUCAGCAGAGGAGGGAUCCCGUAAUGUCUCACCUUAGAAAGGGGAGGACAUAUAUCGUCAAUUAUGAGACAUGCUGUUGGGAGUUACGUGUCGUUCUUUCUACCAUGGGGUAGAAUCAGGUGGAAGAUUUAGGAGUGGGUCACAGGUCAGUGUAAUAAAAUCUCUGAAUGCUUACUCUGAAACUUCCCCAAGUUGAUUUUGGGGAGCAAACAAUGGAAUCCAAUUUUUUUCUAAUUUACACUGAUAAAAGUGAAUUGGCAUCUUAAGAUGCUUAACCAUAGAGCUGGGAAAACUAUGGGUGGAGCUGGGCCCCUUGUUAACUCUCUAGUCCUGACUUUUUGUUAAACUUUGUGGAAACUUCCGGGAGAGGGAUGC
This is a long non-coding RNA of Hipposideros armiger (great roundleaf bat), 1672 nucleotides long. RefSeq lists it as uncharacterized. NCBI's taxonomy places the organism in Eukaryota, Metazoa, Chordata, Mammalia, Chiroptera, Hipposideridae. The transcript is spliced from 4 exons. The record is from RefSeq and is a predicted model, not a curated record.